UACAGAGGUCUCAAGCGUUGUUCGGAUUCAUUGGGCGUAAAGGGUGCGUAGGUGGCGCCAUAAGUCAGGUGUGAAAUCUCGGGGGCUCAACUCCGAAACUGCACUUGAUACUGUGGUGCUCGAGUACUGGAGAGGAGAUUGGAAUUUACGGUGUAGCAGUGAAAUGCGUAGAUAUCGUAAGGAAGACCAGUGGCGAAGGCGAAUCUCUGGACAGUUACUGACACUGAGGCACGAAGGCCAGGGGAGCGAACGGG
RNAcentral lists this ribosomal RNA (254 nucleotides) under uncultured bacterium. Its description in RNAcentral is "partial 16S ribosomal RNA". It matches the Rfam family "Bacterial small subunit ribosomal RNA", at positions 524 to 776 of the family's 1533-position model. The record is from RNAcentral.